AGGCUCUCCGUUGGGCCCGAGCGGGCUGGGGGAGGGGAGCGUCGGGCCGACGGUUUUGGGGGUGAAAAGGCGAAAGGCGGGUGAAAGGCUGCCUCCCGAGGCUCUCCUUGCUUGGAAUUCUGCCCACUCUGCGAAGUUAGGAGUCACGACCUCCAGCACAGGCAAUCAAUGAAUGUCAACUCUGUGCCAGGAUGCUGAUCCAUUCACUGAGAUUGGCAGCACGGGAGGACAGCCAGUUCGGGAGGACAACAGGAAUUCAACUUUAAGCAUACUCAGUCUGAGGCCUCCUCACCUUUCCCCACUCCCUAUAUCUAACCACUACAAAAUCUUGUCACUUCUACAUCUUGAAUAUUUAAAAAAUCCAUCCGCUUCUCUUUGCCCGUACGGCUACUCCAGAUUUCAAGCCAGCAACAUUCUUUUUUAAUUGAUUUUAAAAUUUUUAUUUUAAAAGACCAAAUGGUUGCUUGACCUUUGACUCUCAUGAGAAAACCACAACCCUUACUGUCACCACCACCACCACCACCACAGCAACAACAACAAACAGCCUAAUGACCUCUGUGUGAUCCCUAAUAAAUUGGCAAAGUAAAGAGAUGAAUGUUCUCUUUUUUUUCUUGAUGCUGAAUGUGUUUAAAAACAUGUUUAGGAUAAUUAACGUGCCCUAAAAUUCAUGUAUUUAAAGUGAUUUUAUAAAUUUAUUGGGUGGUGCAGCCAUCACUACAAUCUGAUUUUAGAACAUUUGCAUCACGUCAGUGACAUCUUCCUUGCCCAUUUGCAGUCAGUCUUUAUUACCACUCCCAGCAUCAGACGACCAGUAAUCUACUUCCUGUGCCUAUGGAUUUGCCUAUCCUGAAAAUUUCAUCUAAAUAAUGUCUCCAAAGUUUAUUAAUGUUAUGGCAUAUAUAAAUACUUCAUACCUUUUUAUAGCUGAAUGAUAUUCCAUUGCAUCAGUAUACUACAUUUUGUCUAUCUAGUCAUCAGUUGAUGGACACUUGGAUUGUUUCUAUCUUUUGGCUAUUGUGAAUAAAGCUGCUAU
Long non-coding RNA from Piliocolobus tephrosceles (Ugandan red Colobus), 1033 nucleotides. RefSeq lists it as uncharacterized. The record is from RefSeq and is a predicted model, not a curated record. Lineage: Eukaryota; Metazoa; Chordata; Mammalia; Primates; Cercopithecidae. The transcript has 2 exons.